Molecule: unclassified non-coding RNA, 5697 nt
Filed under: Limulus polyphemus (Atlantic horseshoe crab)
Lineage: Eukaryota; Metazoa; Arthropoda; Merostomata; Xiphosura; Limulidae
Description: protein Tob1-like, transcript variant X1
Source: RNAcentral
CGAGAAGAAAGAGUGAAAAUCAAUUCACCUUUUUCGUACUUUUAUAACAUUAUAUACGAUUAUUGCACCGUGAAGUUUUCACCAAAAACUGUCUCAAUUAUCACUGUUUUCUCUUUAACUAAGGUAAGACAUUUUAAAGUAUAAAACCGUUUGUAAUUGGUAUGACAUCUGAAUUUGUUCUUAUCUACUCCGCAAACUCCUUAGAACGUGGUAGACUUUGAGAUAAUGCAAGGAGAACAGUAUUGCUGAGAUUCUUCUGAAUAAUUGAUGAGGCAUAACGUCUAGGAAAAUCUUUGCGUAGGUGCUUAAGAAAACAAGAGAAGUAACGUCUUGAAUCUUCCUAAAAGAAGGUAUUAUCAACAGUAAAAAAAUAAUAAUGCACGUCGAGGUACAAGUAGCUCUGAAUUUUCUCAUUUCUUUCCUUUAUAACAAAUUACCGAGAAGAAGAGUCAAUCAGUUUGGAGAAGAGAUGGAAAAGAUGGUAAAACAGAGGUUUGCUGGCCAUUGGUAUCCUGAGAGUCCAAUGAAAGGCUCGGGAUUCCGCUGUUUGAAAACCACGCCUCCACUAGAUCUAGCAUUUGGUGCUGCCGCAAUGUAUUGUGGUGUGAACUUGUCUGACAUCCAGGAGAACCUACCCAAAGAUCUCAGCAUUUGGAUAGAUCCAGGAGAGGUGUCGUACCGUCUAGGUGAGAAAGGACCCGUUAGAGUAUUGUACAAUAAAGCUAACAACUGUGGGGAAUCACAGCAUCAUAAACUGGCGCUUCCUUUUAAUCCCGAAGCUCGGUGUUUCAAACCAGUGGAUCGAGCUACCACACAACUAAACCAGAUCUCUCUUGAUGCUACUUCUUCUCCAGACAACUGUGCCUCGAUGUCUACCUUCAAGUCAAACAGUCCAGUAACCACCCUCUUCUCCCAGUCUGUAGCUCCACUUACUUUUACUACCGCUACUUUCGCACAGACAAAGUUUGGUUCUACAAAACCUAAAACUGUAGGUAAAAGAUUCCAUCGUCUUUCUCCAACAGAGCUCAAUAAUUACAUUAAACAAUGGGCAACGGCACAACAAACACACCAGAAUUCUCCUCAGCAACGAUCUUCUAUUUCUAAUCCCUCCUCUUUAAAUCUAGAAGUCACCUCUCCCAUAUUCAGUUCAGCACCUGGGCCUUCACAGAAGCUUGGUUCUUUGUCACCCAACACCGAAUUAAACGUAAUAGUGAUGACUCAACAAUCACAUUAUCCCGCAACCACAGCGCCAAUCCAAAGUCAUUUGAGCAUGUCAAGUACGCGAAAUAUGCCUACAUCAACUCUGUAUGAAAAUAUAUUUGGUGGAUUUGAAAACGACUUGGACCAGCACCCCAAACUUAACAGCAACGCUAACAUAAGUGCUUCAAUCUCGUCACUGAACAUUAAUACAACACCUAUACAUGUGGCAUCUCAACAGCUUGUGAACUUGCCAUCCCUUAACAGCCAUUUUCCACCCUUCUUCAAUAAAUCAUUCUUUGGAACUGGAAGAAAUACCGCCUCAAACCACACUUCCUUCAAUGUCCAAACGCUUAGAGAGGCAAACUCGAACAUUCGUGAUUUAAAUUCACUACCAAUGUUCAGCCCGAUUAGCGUAACGAACCCAAAUCAUUACCAACAUUUAUUAACUGCUACUUAAAGAUAUCUCUCAAUCAAUCGAUCGAACUCUGAUCGACUAGUCCCUUUGUUUAUCAGUUUAAAAAUUAAGCUUUUCUAUUUGGCCAGUCCUAUUAUUAUAGUAUAGCAUAUAUUUUAAGCAAGUUUAUGUAAGUUAAUAAGAAUUUUGUUUGCAGUUUGAAUAUGCAUCUAAGUCAUGGCCGUCUUUCAUGAUUUUUUUUUGUUAUUUUUAGUGCAAAUGAAUAUGGGUUCUAGCUGUUUUGCUUAACAGAAAACUAAAUAAUAAAAUAGCUGAUAAUUAACUACUCUCAAUUAAAGAAUGUUUUCCAAGAUGUCACCUUAGCUAACUAAAAAGUCUUCAAUUACUGAACGCUUUCCAAAAUAUCACUAAGACUAACUAAAAGAUACCUGGCAUGGUCUAGUAAUUAGGGCGCUCGACCCGCAAUAUGCAGGUCGCGGGUUCGAAUCUCGUCACCGAACAUUUUCACUCUUUCGGCCGUGGUAGUAUUCAAAUGCGAUGUUAAAUCCCAUUUUUCUUUGAUAAAGAGCAGCCCAAGACCUGUUUGUGAGUGGUGUUGACUAGUUGCCCUCUUUCUAGUCUAUCGCUUCACAAUUAGGGCAGCUAGUGCAGAUAGCCUUCAAGCAUCUUUUCGCGAAAUUCAACAAACAAACUAAAAGAUACUCAAUUACAUAACGCGUUUCCAUAUGUCACUAUAUACAACUACAGAUCGUCCAGCUAUAGAAUAUAAUUCAAAAUGUCAACAUGCAUAAUUAAGACGUUCGGUGAUGGAGUGUUCUCUAAGAUGUCACCAUGGAAAACUAAAGGAUAUCAAAGCAUAGAAUGGUUUUUCAAGAUAUCAACAGGAAUAGCUAUAUGGUGUGUAUUUCAAGAUGUAAACUUGGAUAACUAACAUACAUUAAGUUACAGAAUAUCUUCCAAACUUUCAGCAUGAAUAACAGUAAUACUUCAAUUAAGGAAAAUGUAUUACUUGCUUUCAACUCUCGAUUUUUUUUCUAAGGUGUCAGUACACAUAAGUAUAAGGCAUGUAGUUUAGAAAUGUUUUACAAGGUGUCAGUAGAGAGAAAUGUAAGACAUUCGAUCAAGAAAUAAUUUUCAAGUUGUCAGAAGAAAUAGGUAUAAGACAUUCUAUUAGGAAAGAUUUCAGAAGAGAAGAAUAAGACGUACAACCAAGAAAUGUUUCCCAAGGUGUCAGUUGAGAUAAUUAUAAAGAUAUACAAUUAAAAAAUGUUUUCUAAGAUGUCAGUUGAGAUACGUAUAAGACAUACGAUUAAAACAAAGUUUAAGGUGUCGGUAUAAAGUACACAACUGAAACAUAUUUUCUAAGGUGUCGGUAGAGAUACGUAUAAGGUAUGCAAUUGAAAAUGUUUUCUAAGAUGUCAGCAGAGAUAAGUAUAAGGUAUACAAUUGAAAAAUGUUUUCUAAAGUAGCAGUAGAAAUAAGUAUAAGGUAUACUAUUAAAAAAUUCUAAAGUAUCGGUAGAGAUAAGUAUAAUAUAUAUAUAUAUAUACAAUUGAAAAAUGUUUUCUAAGGUGUCGGUAAAGAUGAGUAUAAAGUAUACAGUUGAUAAAUGUUUUCUAAGGUGUCGGUAUAGAUAAGUAUAUAGUAUACAGUUGAAAAAUGUUUUCUAAGGUGUCGGUAUAGAUAAGUAUAAAGUAUACAGUUGAAAAAUGUUUUGUAAGGUGUCGCUAGAAAUACGUUUAAAGUAUAUAACUGAAAAAUGUUUUCUAAGGUGUCGGCAGAGAUAAGUAUAAGGUAUACUAUUACAAAAUGUUUUCUAAGGUGUCGGUAGAGAUUAGUAUCAGGCAUACAAUGAAAAAAAUGUUUUCUAAGGUGUCGGUAGAGAUACGUAUAAGACGUACAAUUAAAAAAUAUUUUCCAAAGUGUCAUCUCAACUACAAUACUUCCAAACAUGACACUGAAACAAUAUCUGGUUUAACCCUCUCACUGCCAUGAGCACAUGUACGGGAUACAAUAUGUAACCUUUUGUUUUAGCCUUAAAGUGUGAUAUUAGGUUAGGGUUCUGGAAAAAAUGUAUGUAAUAAAAUACAUCUUACAAUUGAUUUACAGAAUAUUAAUUUUGCGAGUUUUGGAAGUACAUGUACUGAUCAUUAUUUUGAUUCACAUUUCUUACAAUCUGAGAAUUAAUCAUCUGUGAAAUGUAUUAGAAAAUUAUCGGUAAAAAAUCAGCUGUGAGUAUCUAAGAAUAACCCUGACAUCCGGGGAGUUAUUUACCUAGACACGUGAUAUUGAAAAAGUUGAAAGGAAUAGGAGAUAUGUAUAUAAAAUCUUUUUUCUUUUUUUUUGAGAUUCUAUAAUUUUACGAGCAUUGUACUAAAUACAAGAAAUUGUAUACUUCACAAAUUUCUCACACAGAAACUGAAAUGUUGAAGCCAUGAAAAGUAUUUUGAAUAUAAUGGGUAAUAAAAUAUUCCAUUUAUAAUUGUGGUAGUAAUGUUCAUGUAAAACAACGUUAUUAGUAACUUAUCAAAAGUUAAAAACAUUUAAUUGGUUAAAAAAUGUAUUAUGAAAAAUAAAACACAAUAACAAUGAUAAAGCGAUCAAACCCAAAAUUUAGAUUUAUGUAUUUUCAAAUGAAUAGCAUGGUUAAUCAAGAAACGAAGGUCAAAAAUUCUUAAAAUAAUCAUUGCCAGCCUUUUUGUGCUGGAAGAAGAAAAAAGAAACAUUGAAUAUUCACGAACAUAUCUUGUUUUGCUCAUACUUGCGUUUCACUAUUUCCAUUGCUGAUUCGGGACUAAUUUACAACGUUACAAUUGUCCAGUUCUAAAAGUAUUGUGUGUAUAGUGAGUAACUAAUAUUACAUGUCAGUUGACGAAAAAGAUUAGUGUAAAAAUAUUUUCGUACGUAUCCAAGUUUAUUUAUUCCUUAAGUAGUUUAUUUUUGCUUAAUUUCCAGGUUAUGAAGCAACGUUCCAAUAUCUUGUAAAUAUUGUCUCUUUUUCAUUACUAUUUGAUAACACUUCAGUCGGUAUUUUGUAAACAAGCUUAAGUAAUAACGACCUCUGGUGUUACUGACAUAUAUUUACUAGCUUAAUAUUUAUAAUCAAAUAUUAUAAUUAUUACAUUUGGUAAACUUCCAAGUAGUGUCAAAUCCUAUGUACCUGUUCUUUGUAUAAUGAAAGUAUUUUAUAUUUUCUACUAUAAAAAUAUACAUAAUGAUAGCGACGUUUAUGGAUCUAUUGAUUACUUUUAUAUUUGUGUUCUCUGACAAAAAAUUAAGAUUAGUAUGUUGUUAUAACUAUAAUUGUAAGAUAGUGAAAAUGUAUGUUUGUUUCGAACCGUAUUGUACAAUUUAUUGUUCACAUCAAUUAAUGUCCGAUAGAUCGAACAAUAUAGUUUUGCAGAACGUUGUUCAGACUAAAACUAAAACAGCAUUACUUUUAUGAAGAACACAUCAAAAUAUUGGGUGAAAUUACUUAUUUUCUGUGUAAAAUACUCGGGAAACCCAGGUAGUAAUUAGUCAAACUAAUUGUAAUGUUGUCGGAAUUUGGCUUUAAAUUUAUGUGACUCAUGUUACAAAGGACUGUUAUUAUAAAAUCAGGGACCCACAAACAAUUUGGUGCAUAAAUACAUUAGAUGAAUAUAGCUAAAAAUCGAAUGGACCACAUCGACAAUUCUAGGGUUAAAAAUAUUCUAUUCGAAAAUUGUUUGAAAUUCUUUGCUUACUUUUAUAAUUAAUUCUCAUAAACGUGGGUUAUCUCAGUUUUCCCAUUAUGUAAUAUGAAAACGUAAAAUUAGUCUUUUGUUCAAAUCAAAACAUCAGAGCAAAUAGUGACAAAAAUAUUUCAUUGAAGCUGCCAAACUACAGGAUUUAAAUCAUUUUCUCAUAAAAGUAUGUAUUUUUUAUAUAUUUGCAUUAAAUGUAUUGUGUGCAAUGUUUUCAAAAUAUGAUGUAGCGAAGGAUGUAGAAUUAGUCAAUAUAUAAUCGUUGUGGAAUAAUACCCCAAAACCUGAAUUUUCCUUUUUCCCUUUUCGUUAUUUUCCACAUUAUUUGUGAUCUGUAUGAAUUUUUACAUCAAUAAA